This 3428-nucleotide long non-coding RNA is filed under the name Homo sapiens (human). RNAcentral describes it as "HSALNT0204528". The record is from RNAcentral. Lineage: Eukaryota; Metazoa; Chordata; Mammalia; Primates; Hominidae.
CUGCCUUAGUCUCCUCUGCCAUUGAUUAUCCAAACCAUAACAAACAAGCAAGAAAGAAAACAAGCAAGAAAGAAAACAAGCAAGCAGAAGUCAGAAACUCAAAAAGCCAAAAGGAUUCUACUUGCACACCAGCUAAUCAAAAUGAACAGUUUAAGACUGUGUGUGCCAAAAUGAUGCAUAUGGGUGAUCACUUGCUGUAUUACAGGUGCAGUUAUCAAAUGUUUAUAUAAAAUAGUAAGUCUAAUUCAGUUUACACAUUAUUAUUUAGUUAAUGUAAUAAUAAUGUUUUAAAGAAAUGUACACAAUAUAUAACAUUUUCUAUUUCAUUUUUUAUUGAAAAAAAUGCAUUCAAACUUAAUACCUUCUUAAGGCUAUGGAUCAUAAUAAACAGUGAUAUUUUGGAGUCAUAUAAUACAGCUAUCCUGCAAUUCACCUUCACUUUUGCUCAGUUUACUUGAGAUAUAGGAGUUUUUAAAAAAGUACGUAAUAUUUUAAUGAACAUUUUAGUUGAAGCCAUAUAUAAUGCUUUACUUAACAUUAAAAUAGUUAUGUUCUUUUCCUCCUAUAGCUAUACAUUGCCAAGAUUGACAAAGUAUCUGUUUAGCAAAUUGCUUUCUAAGCUAAUUAUGAAAGACUUGUUUAUGAGCUGUCCAACAAAGGCCAUUAUGCCAAACAAUAUUAUUUAUGUCAAAUAAUACUAUACAAGCCAAAAAAUAUUUCUUAGUAAAAAAAUUGAGAGACCAUUUAAUAAAAUAAAAUAUCAUGAAGGAAUACAAAUAUUAAAUGGUUCUCUCUUUUCUGUAUUAACAUUUUAGAGAAAAAGCUUUCUUACUGCCAGCCAUCCAUAGAAUAUGUAGGUAUAAUAUUCAGAAAGGGACAUACAUAUAAAAGAAGCUAGAUUAAAAUAGGCAGUAUAUCAUAGUGAGAAAAGAGUGGGAUUUUAGAAUCAAAUUAACUGGAUUCAAAAUCUACUCCAAUUGUGUGGCCUAGGAAAGUUAUUUAAGCUUUAUGUGCUUCUUUGUCCUUUUAUGUAAAAUGAAUAUAAUAAAUUUUUCUGUGCUGUAGAAUGACUGUGAGGACGGUAUGACCUAAAUUAACACAUUUAAAGCACAUGGAAAAGAACAAAUAAGUAUGCAAUCCACAUUUUCCUGUGAUUGUGCUAUUCUGGUUCUGAUUCUCCUUUGAACUUCUUUAAUGAAGUUCAAAAGGAGAACAUUGACUUUUUAAAGAAAGCACAUUAUUUUAGAAGAGAUUGAAAAACUUCUAAUGGCUCAAAGACAAUAUAGGAGUAAAGAGAUGCUAGAUGUUUGGAAAGGGACCUAGAACAGAGGUUUGUGUUAACCUGAUGCUUUAAUAUGUACUUAUUGUCUAAAUGGUAAAUGUUUCCACUUGAAUAUUAUUUCACAGACUUUCACAAUAUACAUAAACAUAUGUAUAUACAAUGUAUUUGUAUUUCAAAAUUUUAGAGUUGAUUUUCAAAAGAUGGAUAUUAUAGUUAGAGAAAGAAUUCUAUCUAUGUAAUAGUAUAUUGAGUCGGUUACUUACUCUUAUUCUAAUUAUAACAAAGGCUCGAAAAUGGCAGAAGGAGACAACAUGUUUUAUGCAUUCCAAAGAAGCCUGCCAGUAAGCCACCAAAAAUUAAAGUUGCAUACGUUCUUCAAGAGUAAAACAGGAAGAAAAUAGAACCUGCAUUAUGCUCCUCAAACCACCUAUUCCACUGCUACCAUAAUCACGAGGUGUUUAGGUAAGACUAAGAUUGGCAAAGGUACAGAAGUUAUUGUGUGUGAUCUUGCAGUAAACUCAGUGUUUGUGGUCUCUUGAGACUUAAUUAUUUCUUCUUGGCAGAAUGAAAGGUGUAUCAGUUAGCUAAUGCUGCCAAAUAAUCCACUUAAACUUUAAUGGCUUAAAACAACAACAUACUUAACUUCCAAUUGUAUAAUUUAGCAAUUUAACUUGGUUCAGCUUAAAGGUUGCCCUGGUCUCAUCUGGUCUUCUGUAGCACCUGUGAUCAGAUGUGGGUCAAGCGCUUGACUUUUGCUGAUCUUGGAUGCAUUCUCACACAUGUUAGACACUUCACCUGGGACAAUUGGAAUGACUCAAUUCUGGUCCCUGUGGUUUCUCAUCCUCCAGGAGAUUAAUUCAAGUUGAUUCACACGGCAGGGGGAAGGAUUCUGAAAAAAAGGUGGUGGUGUGGAUUGCUUAAAGUCUAAUCUUAGAACUGACAUGCUUUGGUCUCAUUGCAUUUUAUACUUAAAGCAACUCUCAAGGCAAACCCAAUUUAAGGUGGAGGCAAAUCACCUCCUGAUGAACAGCACUUCAAGUUAAUAUUGUAGAAAGUACAGAUAGGAAAGCAAAACAAAAAUACAAUCACUUUGCAAACAAUCCACCACAAAUGGUUAUGGUUUUUCCUUCCCAAAAUAUUUUGUAAUAUUUAAAAAAACUAUUUAUUGUAAUUGACAAGUAAAAUUUUAUAUACUUGUGAAGUAGCACUUGGGGUUUUGAUAUAUGUAUACAUUGUAAAAUGGCAACUUCAAGCUAAUUAAUAUGUGGAUUACUUAAUAUACUUAUCAUUUUUCAUGAGAACACAAAAUCUAUUCUCUUAGCCAUUUUCAAAUAUUCAAUACAUUGUUAUACAUUGUUAUAACUGUAGUCAUUAUGAUGUACUAUAGUUGUCUUGCACUUAUUCCUCUUAUGUAACUGAAAGUUUGUAUUUUUGACCAACAUCUCCUCAAUCCUCCCAACCUCAGCCUCUGGUAACCACCAUUUUACUCUUCAUUUCUAUGAACUCAACUAUUUACACACCACAUAUAUGAGAUCAAGCAGUAUUUAAUAUCUUUCUGCACCUAGCUAUUUUUUCUUAACAUAGUGUUCUCCAGAUUCAUUUAUGUUGGUUCAAAUGACAAGAUUUCCUUUUUUUUUUUUUAAACUGAACAAUAUUCAUUGUGUACAUAUACUACAUUUUCUUUAUCCACUUAUUCAUUGGUGGACCAACACUUAGGUUGAUUCCAUAUCUUGGCUAUUGUGAAUAGUGCUACAAUGAACAUGGAAGUAAAAGUAUCUCUUCAAGAUAAAAAAAAAAAGAAAAAAAAAAGCACUUUCUUUUUGUAGUGAGAAGUGGUUGCUUCCAAGGAAAACACUUCUAAAGUUUGUGGCAUUUUAAGGGAUGGAGACGGGUUUUCUUCCAAUGAGGAAUUAUUUUUGAGAACAUAAACAAGCUGAUUUUCAUGUGUUUAUGGAAAAUAUAUUUUAUUUGAAGAGUAAUACAAAAUAUAGAUACAGGUUUGCCAUGGAGCAAACUGCAAAUAAAUUGAAGGAGGUGGCAAAAAUAUUUGGAUUUUCUGUGGUCCAAGUGAGUAUUGCAGUGGCUGAGCAGGAGCAGUAUUACAGUUUUCUUACAAUAAAAUGGUGUUUGCUAAAAUAAAUUCCUG